RNAcentral lists this ribosomal RNA (301 nucleotides) under uncultured bacterium. Its description in RNAcentral is "partial 16S ribosomal RNA". It matches the Rfam family "Bacterial small subunit ribosomal RNA", at positions 509 to 807 of the family's 1533-position model. The record is from RNAcentral.
CAGCCGCCACGGUAAUACAGAGGGUGCGAGCGUUAAUCGGAUUUACUGGGCGUAAAGCGUGCGUAGGCGGCUUUUUAAGUCGGAUGUGAAAUCCCUGAGCUUAACUUAGGAAUUGCAUUCGAUACUGGGAAGCUAGAGUAUGGGAGAGGAUGGUAGAAUUCCAGGUGUAGCGGUGAAAUGCGUAGAGAUCUGGAGGAAUACCGAUGGCGAAGGCAGCCAUCUGGCCUAAUACUGACGCUGAGGUACGAAAGCAUGGGGAGCAAACAGGAUUAGAUACCCCGGUAGUCCCUGUCUCUUAUAC